Molecule: non-coding RNA, 224 nt
Organism: Cinara cedri
Lineage: Eukaryota; Metazoa; Arthropoda; Insecta; Hemiptera; Aphididae
Source: the annotation of a GenBank genome assembly
GACGAACACGAGAAUUUUACUAUAACAUUCGAUAUGGUUUAGAUUUCUCAUGCGCAAUGUGCUCGCCCAAUCAACCGGGACAUUGACGCGAAAAACGCGGUGGACAGAAACACUAUUCGAGUGGCGGACGAAAUGAACACCGGCUCGGAGAGAAUCACGAAUUUAAAUUGACCGGCCGAGAAAACAAAACAAUCAACGCUGGAAUGCGAAAACGGGCGACGGGA